Molecule: long non-coding RNA, 1037 nt
Organism: Lolium rigidum
Lineage: Eukaryota; Viridiplantae; Streptophyta; Magnoliopsida; Poales; Poaceae
Exons: 8
Source: RefSeq, a predicted model, not a curated record
CAGGCUUCUGAUUUUCCCCGGUGGGUUGUGGUUGAUAUAAGUGAAGGUGACUGGCUUCAGUUGUAGUGAUUUUGCUGGCAAGUAAAAGCAAAUCAGUUCUUAGAUUGACAAAGAACUUGGAUUAGAUGAUGUUUUGCUGGUAUGGCAAGGAAGAGAAUGGGCUCUACUUCAGAUGCAAAUGAGGUGUUGUUAUUGAACUUUUGCUACUCCUGCAGAGUAGGAAUUUACUUCUUCCGGCAAUUAGGCACAUAGUACUGAAGAGUUAUUUUAGUUCAGAUCUAUCGUUCUCAAUAGACAUCAAUGAGGAGCAGUACAGCAUCUGCAGUUCGUCAGAUGUUCAGCGUCAAAUGUACCAAAAGAUUAUGUUCAUCUACUGGUGAGUGGAGAUAUCAAGUGUAAGCUAGGCAUGCAUCGGUACUUUGUAUCCUGUAGAAGGAACUGGUUGAUUGUGUUCCAUUCCUUAAGUUUGGCCCACAUUCACAGCUUCAGGGGUUAUCCAUAUGGUUUUCCACCUCCCAACAAAUAUACCAUCAGAUGCACUGCAGUUUGGAGAGUCAUGUGCCAGCAGAGAUCAGGACAGUUAAUUAACCAGAAGAGAUUGUAUUAAUGGUGUGUAUAUGAUUUUCAGUGCUGCUCCUAUGCUUUAGAGCUAAAUUACUUGCAAUAAAAAAUUCAAGUGUAUACUUUGGUAUGCAAUCUGGCAUUUGACUGCUUUAACAUGUUAAAAUCUUAAGCAGCAACAGUUGCUCUCUUGAUUUGGUUGCUAUGCAUUGGCCGGGCACCAAAUAUGCUCUUGGAGUUCCAGCGCAUCAUUCCUGCUAGGGGCACCCAAAGUGAUAUUGUGCCUGUAGCUCAGAAGGUUCAGCAAACCUAAAAACGUUAGUAUCCGACCUUCAUAACUCAAGGAAAACAGAUAAAGUCUAGGGAGAAUGAGAAAGCAGAUAAAGGCCACAUGAUUCUGUCUGACUUUGUUUACACUGUAUCACAAUGUUUAUUAAACCAAAUUUGUGGUCAGCGGCAAUAAGCCACUGGCAUUA